UUCAACAUAUUCUCUAAAUCCUUCAUGUCAUCUUCUUCUGUCCUAGGUUUCAAAGCAAUAGAAUUUCCUCCUCCGACAAAUCCACCAUUUGGCCCCAUUGGUGGUCUAGGCAUCGGAGGCGGAACACCAACACCUCUAGGUACAAACCCACCAUUUGGCCCCAUUGGUGGUCUAGGCAUCGGAGGCGGAACACCAACACCUCUAGGCAUCCCCAUCAUACCCACCAUACCUCUAUGCCCACCUCUCGGACCCAUAUUGCCGGGAAACAUAGCUGUCAUCCCCUGCGUAUGUGAAUGCUCCCACAUUUCACUCAUUGCCCUUCCCAUUCCCAUAAAUCCUCCAUU
Molecule: long non-coding RNA, 344 nt
Filed under: Nicotiana benthamiana
Lineage: Eukaryota; Viridiplantae; Streptophyta; Magnoliopsida; Solanales; Solanaceae
Description: long non-coding RNA (NBEN_LNC034459)
Source: RNAcentral